Molecule: long non-coding RNA, 3090 nt
Organism: Pecten maximus
Lineage: Eukaryota; Metazoa; Mollusca; Bivalvia; Pectinida; Pectinidae
Exons: 3
Source: RefSeq, a predicted model, not a curated record
AGUACUGGAGCUCUCGUCGGUUGACAAGCUUGGUUGAGAGUCCUGUUCCGUCUCGCCUAGGUGGGGUUCUAUCGCAUACUUACAGUUUACAGUAGACCACAUUGGACCUAUCGACAAACCGAUAAAGAUGGCGUUGUCUGGAAUAAAAGCAUCUCCAGAGGUGGUGAGAGAAAUGAUUGCUUUCAAAAUGAAUAAAAUUCCUGGGGAGUAUGUAGUGGUGAAAAUCAGUGAUGAUGGGAAAGAACUGGUUCUUGAUACAGAAUUCGAGGAACAACUAAAAGAACCAGGGGACUGAAUCUAGAUGAAUUCAAGAUAAAGGACAAGAUGAUGUACUCAUCAACUAUGAAUACACUUACUUCUGCAGCUGAGCUUGGCAGUGGGUUGAUAUUCAACAUUCAUGGAGCAAGUGACAUGGAUGAUUAUGAAGAUGUUUUAAAAAAGCUCUUAAAGUCUUAAACCUAAAGACAUAUAAGACAGAACUAAUUACAGCAUAUCAUUUUGUCCAGUGAAUAACCAUCCGUAAGGUUUUUGAAUUGAAAGUGAAUACCUGAUGCUAUUUUAUGUCCCUGCAGCAAAUUAGGGGAGGGGGGGUGCUCAUACUAGUAUCUCCCAGUUUUUUUGUCUGUCUAUGUUAAGAAGAUCUUUUCAAGAUAACCUCCUAGCUUAUUUAGAAGAACUUUAUACAUAUCAUAACGGACCACUGGAUUUUUGUAUCGGAGUAUUAUUUUUUAUUCAGAGCUUGUUUUAGGAAUGUACACCUCUGUACAUAUAUCAUUGUUCAUGUCUGUCUGUCUGGAGUCUCUUUGCAAAUUACUGACAUAGUUGGUAUCUUGAGAACAUUUCAAAAAGCUUUGUUUUAAAGCUGAACCACAUUAUCAUAAAAGUAAGUUUAAUAUUUUAUAAGACUUUGCUGGUCAUGGGUCAAGGCUUGCUGGUCAUGGGUCAAGGCUAAAGGAUAGAUAAAUAUGUUAUGACCCUUUUCUGGAAUUUAAAGCUUAUGUACUAGAUACAUGUAUUUGUAUUUGAGUGGCCAUUCAUAGCUUAAACAGAUCUGUUCUUGUUUCAUAUAUACUCCUUCCACAUUUAUGUCCCUUUAAGAAUUUAGUUCAUUCCUUGUUUUGACAACUCAUUGUCCAUCAUUUUCAUAUUUCAGACUUUUACUCAAAAAAAAAUCAAAAGAUUUGAUGAAAUUCUGCAGAAAAUUUCCUGGAAAAAGGUCAACCAAACUUGUAAAUUAUAUGGUCCCCUCCAUCCAGGGACCUGAGGGAUGGGGGAAAAAAUGGGAAAAAGUCUUCUUCCAAAAAAUUACAGGAAAAUGCCUAAUUACCCUCAUAUAUACAUUUUGCCUCCUGAUGUCCAUUCCUUCUUUUAUCAAUUUAUUGGAUCUUCUUGUGUCACAAGGAAACUACUUUCUAUAAAUAGCCCUGUGUAAAGGCUAUGCUUGAGAAAGUGAUGCAAUAAUAUUGAAAGCGAGGCAGCAGGAACGGCAUUGGUUUGGAUGAAAAUGUGUAUGCUUGACUGUGAACAUUAUCUUCAUUUCAACAGUGGCUUUAUCAAAGAUAUUUUCAGUAAAGUUUGAUUUUCAUUCUCUCAGCUGUUCUUGAGCUUUGAAAAAAGCCUCCUUUAAGUUCACAGUGUAGGUAUAUAUGAGAAAGUGAUACGGGACAGGGCAUAGCAUACAAGAAAGUAGACUCUCACUUACCUGUACCAAGUAUGUACUUCAUCAAGUUAGACUCUCACUUACCUGUACCAAGUAUGUACUUCAUCAAGUUAGACUCUCACUUACCUGUACCAAGUAUGUACUUCAUCAAGUUAGACUCUCACUUACCUGUACCAAGUACAUACUUCAUCAAGUUAGACUCUCACUUACCUGUACCAAGUAUGUACAUCAUCAAGUUAGACUCUCACUUACCUGUACCAAGUAUGUACAUCAUCAAGUUAGACUCUCACUUACCUGUACCAAGUACGUACUUCAUUAAGUUAGACUCUCACUUACCUGUACCAAGUACAUACUUCAUCAAGUAGGAUGAAAGACAGCUUCUCUAUUUCUUGUCUGAUGACAUUCCCACAUCCUUUCCUUCCAAAGAUACCUCGGGAAUACUGUCUGUGCCAUAUUUGUUGUUUUCUUUUUGUGGUAGACUCUAUUACUGUUUUGUUUCAAGCAUGUUUUCAUUUUUGCAGUUUAUUUUUGCAUCAGAAUAUCAGCUUUCAAACUCAUGGAGCCUUAAGUCAGGGCAACAUUUGUAUAUAACCUUAUACUGUCCUCUUGAGAAGUUCGAUCUGUCAGUGAUUUCCAUCUGUAUUUAUGUAAUUACACAUUUCUGACCCCAGCAUCACAUGAAAUUUAAUUGGAGAUAUAGACCAUCUUUAAUUUGCACUUUGUUCAUUUUUUUAAUGAUUUUUGAGUUUAAUCAGAAAGUGGUAAUUUGCUUCAUCGGUGACCACCUUAAAACUCUGAUGAUCAUUAUAAGACCUAUAGGCCCUUGUUUGUAUGUAAGAUAUGUAUACCAUGUAUUUCAGUUUCUUAAAAAGAUAGUUGCUGUGGUAACAAAAUCGGAGGUCUCUGGUCAAAACUGUUUGGUCCAUCUGUAACUGAUUUGAUGAGCUCUCUCAAACUUUAUAUGCAAGCAUAAUUAGGGAUGGCUUAUAAAACAACAAAAGCAGGUGGCUUUAAAAUCUGAAGUGAGAUACACUCUAAAUUGUGUUAAAUGACUACUCUGUAAAUGACGAAAUCACUAAUUGUAUGUUUGAAAUUUGCAACAGUGCAACCAAGAUCUGCUGAUGAGAAUUUGUCUAUUUUUAGUGAGAUUUUGGUGUAAAUUUUUUCAAAUUGCAUCAGUUUAAUAUUCUUACUUACCAGGUAUAUGUCAAUAUGUCAAACUUCCAACUCUACUAUUGGCAGCAAGAUCCUGCCUUGGUCAAAGACCUCAGAUGUACACGUUAUAGCAUCCUGUGUACGGUUAUAGUUGGACUUUCAUUUCUAAUUUAUAAUCCAAAUUAUAGCUUGCUACAAUUUUACCAUUUUAUCAUACUUACAUACAUGUAUCAUAUAUUGGUAUGAAAUAAUAAAAUAUUAAUAUCUUUCUGAAA